This 186-nucleotide unclassified non-coding RNA is filed under the name rhizosphere metagenome. RNAcentral describes it as "partial ribosomal RNA internal transcribed spacer region". The record is from RNAcentral.
GAGUAUCAUGCCCUCACGGGUAGAUCUCCACCCUUGAAUAACAUACCUUUGUUGCUUUGGCAGGACGCCCUCGUGCCAGGGGCUUCGGCUCUUGAGUGCCUGCCAGAGGACCCUAAACUCUGUUUAUACAUGUCGUCUGAGUACUAUAUAAUAGUUAAAACUUUCAACAACGGAUCUCUUGGUUCU